GACGAACGCUGGCGGCGCGCCUAACACAUGCAAGUCGAACGGAGCUGCGAGAAGCUUGCUUUUCUUAGCUUAGUGGCGAACGGGUGAGUAACGCGUGAGUAACCUGCCCUGGAGUGGGGGACAACAGUUGGAAACGACUGCUAAUACCGCAUAAGUCCACGAUCCGGCAUCGGAUUGAGGGAAAAGGAUUUAUUCGCUUCAGGAUGGACUCGCGUCCAAUUAGCUAGUUGGUGAGGUAACGGCCCACCAAGGCGACGAUUGGUAGCCGGACUGAGAGGUUGAACGGCCACAUUGGGACUGAGACACGGCCCAGACUCCUACGGGAGGCAGCAGUGGGGGAUAUUGCACAAUGGGGGAAACCCUGAUGCAGCGACGCCGCGUGGAGGAAGAAGGUUUUCGGAUUGUAAACUCCUGUCGUGAGGGACGAUAAUGACGGUACCUAACAAGAAAGCACCGGCUAACUACGUG
RNAcentral lists this ribosomal RNA (468 nucleotides) under uncultured bacterium. RNAcentral describes it as "partial 16S ribosomal RNA". It matches the Rfam family "Bacterial small subunit ribosomal RNA", at positions 28 to 507 of the family's 1533-position model. The record is from RNAcentral.